UGCGUAGGCGGGCUAAUAAGUCAGUGGUGAAAUCUUCCGGCUCAACCGGGAACCUGCCAUUGAUACUGUUAGUCUUGAGUUCGGUUGAGGUAGGCGGAAUGUGUAAUGUAGCGGUGAAAUGCUUAGAUAUUACACAGAACACCAAUUGCGUAGGCAGCUUACUAGACCGACACUGACGCUGAGGCACGAAAGCGUGGGUAGCGAACAGGAUUAGAUACCCUGGUAGUCC
RNAcentral lists this ribosomal RNA (229 nucleotides) under uncultured bacterium. Its description in RNAcentral is "partial 16S ribosomal RNA". It matches the Rfam family "Bacterial small subunit ribosomal RNA", at positions 568 to 796 of the family's 1533-position model. The record is from RNAcentral.